RNAcentral lists this ribosomal RNA (467 nucleotides) under uncultured bacterium. RNAcentral describes it as "partial 16S ribosomal RNA". It matches the Rfam family "Bacterial small subunit ribosomal RNA", at positions 29 to 507 of the family's 1533-position model. The record is from RNAcentral.
ACGAACGCUGGCGGCGGGCUUAACACAUGCCAGUCGAACGGAAAGGCCCUGCUUUUGUGGGGUGCUCGAGUGGCGAACGGGGGAGUAACACGUGAGUAACCUGCCCUUGACUUUGGGAUAACUUCAGGAAACUGGGGCUAAUACCGGAUAGGAGCUCCUGCUGCAUGGUGGGGGUUGGAAAGUUUCGGCGGUUGGGGAUGGACUCGCGGCUUAUCGGCUUGUUGGUGGGGUAGUGGCUUACCAAGGCUUUGACGGGUAGCCGGCCUGAGAGGGUGACCGGCCACAUUGGGACUGCGAUACGGCCCAGACUCCUACGGGAGGCAGCAGUGGGGAAUAUUGCACAAUGGGCGGAAGCCUGAUGCAGCAACGCCGCGUGCGGGAUGACGGCCUUCGGGUUGUAAACCGCUUUCGCCUGUGACGAAGCGUGAGUGACGGUAAUGGGUAAAGAAGCACCGGCUAACUACGUG